GAUGAACGCUGGCGGCGUGCCUAAUACAUGCAAGUCGAGCGAACAGACGAGGAGCUUGCUCCUCUGACGUUAGCGGCGGACGGGUGAGUAACACGUGGAUAACCUACCUAUAAAACUGGGAUAACUUCGGGAAACCGGAGCUAAUACCGGAUAAUAUAUUGAACCGCAUGGUUCAAUAGUGAAAGACGGUUUUGCUGUCACUUAUAGAUGGAUCCGCGCCGCAUUAGCUAGUUGGUAAGGUAACGGCUUACCAAGGCAACGAUGCGUAGCCGACCUGAGGGGGUGAUCGGCCACACUGGAACUGAGACACGGUCCAGACUCCUACGGGAGGCAGCAGUAGGGAAUCUUCCGCAAUGGGCGAAAGCUUGACGGAGCAACGCCGCGUGAGUGAUGAAGGUCUUCGGAUCGUAAAACUCUGUUAUUAGGGAAGAACAAAUGUGUAAGUAACUAUGCACGUCUUGACGGUACCUAAUCAGAAAGCCACGGCUAACUACGUG
This 497-nucleotide ribosomal RNA is filed under the name uncultured bacterium. RNAcentral describes it as "partial 16S ribosomal RNA". It matches the Rfam family "Bacterial small subunit ribosomal RNA", at positions 28 to 507 of the family's 1533-position model. The record is from RNAcentral.